AUCAGGGAAACUUGAUUCUAAUACCGUAUACGUCCGUGAGGAGAAAGAUUUAUCGCCCUUACACGGGCCCGCGUCGGAUUAGCUAGUUGGUGGGGUAACGGCCUACCAAGGCGACGAUCCGUAGCUGAUCUUAGAGGAUGAUCAGCCACACUGGGACUGAGACACGGCCCAGACUCCUACGGGAGGCAGCAGUUGGGGAAUCUUGGACAAUGGGCGCAAGCCUGAUCCAUCCAUGCCGCGUGAGUGAAGAAGGUCUUCGGAUUGUAAAGCUCUUUUGCCAUGGACGAUAAUGACGGUACCUGGAGAAUAAGCCCCCGCUAACUUCGUGCCACCAGCCGCGGUAAUACGAAGGGGGCUAUCGUUGUUCGGAAUUACUGGGCGUAAAGCGCACGUAGG
Molecule: ribosomal RNA, 396 nt
Filed under: uncultured Alphaproteobacteria bacterium
Lineage: Bacteria; Pseudomonadati; Pseudomonadota; Alphaproteobacteria
Description: bacterial SSU rRNA
Rfam family: Bacterial small subunit ribosomal RNA
Source: RNAcentral